GGAUGAUAGUGAAAGAGCUGGCAGUGUUAAACACACAGAUUUUCAUGAUGGAGCAGCCUAUUUUCAUCUGUUUCACUCCUGUAGGGAGGUUGGUGUGGGAGGAACUGUCUUCUCAAACUGAACAGUAUGUGGAUGAGGAGGUUCAGCAGCAGCCCGGUCUGACUUUAAUCUCUUGGUCUGGACCUCAGUGGGUUUCAAGCGCCCCUGUCAAACUGCAGCCAACAUAUUACUUUACCCAUGCUGGGAACACGCUGGUGAGAGAGCUGUCAGUAUUAAAUACACAGCCAAAUAGUGAAGACUCUGGUUUUCCCUUUGAGAAGAUGCAGCUGGUUGGGAACUGGGGUUCGUUUCAUUUCCAUACUUGGAUAAUCCGUUAUGGACGAGUGCAGCAAAACGAAGAGGACAUGCAUCACCUGUGCAUUGUGAGGGGAGUGGAGAAACAGCUGUGGUGGAGCAGAGUCAUUCAGGAAAAAAUCCUGGACCCAUGGGGUAAUGUCCAGGUGGUCCUCGCCAACAAGGAGGUGACUGGUAUUAAGUUCCUUGGUAGAAGGAUCCAUGGACUCAGGUCUUGCCUCGUCAAGAGGAGGUCAGAGUUCACCUAUUAUGAGGACGCCCAGCAGGUGGAUAUCUCCACCACAGUGGAGGGGUUCCAGGAGAGGGGGGAUGACAUGAUGACCUAUCAGUUCUCUACCUCUGACAUUAUCACCACCCCUCAUGAGCCGUCCUCUGGCUCCUCUCAGCAGUUCCCCCAGGAUUCUCCACCUCCCCCUCCGCCUCCCCCGUUCCCUUCCCCUCCACCUUACCACUUCACCCAGGACCAGACCCCUGACAGCACUCCUCAGGUAAAACUCUUUCUACAGUCAAUAACCCUUUUUAUUUGUUUUCC
This is a long non-coding RNA of Oncorhynchus tshawytscha (Chinook salmon), 886 nucleotides long. NCBI's taxonomy places the organism in Eukaryota, Metazoa, Chordata, Actinopteri, Salmoniformes, Salmonidae. The record is from Ensembl.